UACAGAGGUCUCAAGCGUUGUUCGGAUUCAUUGGGCGUAAAGGGUGCGUAGGCGGCGCGGUAAGUCGGGUGUGAAAUCUCGGAGCUUAACUCCGAAACUGUAUUCGAUACUGCCGUGCUUGAGGACUGGAGAGGAGACUGGAAUUUACGGUGUAGCGGUGAAAUGCGUAGAUAUCAGGAAGAACACCAACGGCGAAGGCAGCUCGCUGGGACGGAACUGACGCUGAGGCGCGAAAGCGUGGGGAGCAAACAGG
This 253-nucleotide ribosomal RNA is filed under the name uncultured bacterium. RNAcentral describes it as "partial 16S ribosomal RNA". It matches the Rfam family "Bacterial small subunit ribosomal RNA", at positions 524 to 776 of the family's 1533-position model. The record is from RNAcentral.